AUUGCCGGAGGGAAGAAACUGUUCUUACGCCUGGCCAUUCUGGUACUCAGUGCUCUGUAGCGCUGACCAGACGGCAAUAGUUCAAAGAAGAAAUGGGCUGGGUGUGAGGGUCCAGAAUGAUUUUUUCUGUUGUCUGCGAACUUCAGAAGGGUCUUUAGAGGUGUAGUUGUUGGUGUACAGGGAGAAGAGCAGUGGGCAGAGAACAAAUCCCUGGGGGGCGCCAGUGAUGAUGGUACAGGUGCUGGAUGAGAAUUUUCCCAGCCUUACUAGCUGUUGCCUGGCUGUCAGGAAGCUGGUGAUGCACUGACAGAUGGAGGUGUGCACAGAGAGCUGAGUUAAUUUGGACAGGUGGAGGUUUGGAUGAUAGUGUUGAAGGCCGAGUUGAAGUCCAGAAGUUGUAGGAUAUAAUGGAGUUGCUUAUCCUCUUUGCUUGAUAUGCAAACUGCAGGGGGUCCAGUAAGGGUCCAAUGAUGUCCUUCAGAUAGGCCAACACCAGUCUUUCAAACGACUUCAUGACCACAGAUGUUAGGGCCACAGGUCAAUAAGUCCUUUGAUUUUGGGUUUCUUUGGAAUGGGGAUGAUGGUGGAGUGUUUGAAGCAGGAAUGGACUUUGCACAGCUCCAGAGAUCUGUUGAAGAUCUGUGUGAAGAUGGGGGCCAGCUGGUCAGCACAGGUUUUUAGAAAUAAAAACUCAAUGAAAUGAAACUCAUUCAAAUUGUCAGCCAGAUGUUGUUUCAACACAGUGCUGCUGGGGGAUGGUGUCUUGUAGUUGGUGGUGUCUUUCAGUCCUUUCCACACUGAUGCAGGGUCAUUGGCAGUAAACUGGUUUCUCAGCUUUUCGAAGUAGUUCCUCUUACUCAAUUUGAUCCCCUUUGUCAGUGUGUUUUUGGCCUGUUUAUACAGGACUCUGUCCGUAUUCCUGUAAGCAUUUUCUUCGGCCUGACGUAGUUGUCUGAGUUUUGCAGUGAACCACGGUUUGUUGUUGUUGUUAUUAAAUGAGUCCUGGUAGGGAUGCACAUAUUCUCACGGAAACUGAAGUAUAAUGUUACAGAAUCCGUGAGCUAGUCCAGAUAGGUGGCAGCAACUUCAAAAACUCUCCAAUCAGUGCAGUUGAAACAGGCUUGUAAAUCCCGCUUUGCUUCAUUAGUCCUUUGCACAGGAAUGCACAGGAUUGUAAGAUAUCAAAGUCAGCGAAGGAUACAUCUAUGCUGUCUUCAAAAAUUGAUCAGAUGAAGGUAUCAUAGGAGACAGGAAGUGAAGCUGACAUUGGACUUGGAGGUGCCUUGAUGCCUUCCUCCCUUGAAAUGCAUCCUCCGAAGGCAGCAUUUUUCAGCUUUCGGAUGCAGCUAUUCACUCAAGUAGCGGUUUACACAGAAAUGAGGGCGGAAUUGCUUGUAUGGGCAUUUCUCCCGGAAG
This is a long non-coding RNA of Cyprinus carpio carpio, 1416 nucleotides long. The record is from Ensembl. NCBI's taxonomy places the organism in Eukaryota, Metazoa, Chordata, Actinopteri, Cypriniformes, Cyprinidae.